GGUAAUUAAGUUAUAAUUGGUAAAGCUUAGUAACAUAUUUUUAGAACCAUUAAUUAAUUUAUUAUUGUAUGGUUGGAACAAUCUUUGUUUCCAGUUUCUUUUACAUUAUGCUAAUCAGGCCAGCUAUAAAAUAGCCACCUUAGGUGGCGUGGAAAGUCUCUUCCGUUUUUGUUGUCCUGUCUGAUGUGUUGAAGUGUCAGAAGAUUUAUGUCCUGUUCAUCUGUUUGUGAACUGGUUAUUAAGAACAUUGUUGUGCUUUGUUUGGUUUAUGGUUUAGUGGAGAAUUUAUGUAUUGAUAUCAGCAGUUGUUCAAGGAAAGGUUGUUGGCUGAAGGAGAGAUUUGUUGAUUUAUUACAUUAACCAUUUACUUGUAAGUUUGCAUUUAUUUUGAAAAUAAUAAAGAAAUUAAUUGUUUUUUUUUUUUGAUGGAGUUCUUUGGUGAGAUGGUGGACUCAAUCCUGAAUUGGAUGGAUUCACGAGAAAUUAUGGUUCAAGUAAAGAUAUUUACGAUGAGAAAGCCGCUAAUGAGGGGGCACAGGGUUGGAAAAAGGCAGGAGCAAGGGCUCUUACUUUGCAAAGAGAGUAAGAAUUUUUUGGCCUUCCUUCAUAUUAGAAUAAGUAUAGCAAUGGUUCUUUUUAAUUUAGGACAAUUACUAUCUUUUAGUGGAUUCAAAUGAGAAUCUCAAAAGAAAUAUACAUGUAGUUUUCAGUUUAUGAAUUCUUGGGUUUGCAAGAUUUUUUUGAAAUAUGAACUAUCAAAAAGAUUGAAAAUAUGAAUAUUACUUGCAAUAAAUAAAUGUUAAACAUUUAUAAAAAGAUAUUUAAAUUCAUGUACAUAGUUAUUAUAUAUAGUAAAAUUGGUUUGUAGCAGAAACUCUAUAAUCUGAUAUGAAAAUUCCAAAUGGUGGCCAAGAAGUGGAAGUAGUAUACACACUAAUUUUACCAACAUAUUAUGUAAAUAAGUUCCAUCUCCAGAUUGUACUUAAAGUAGCAGUUCAUCUGUAUUAAAGAUCAUCUACUAAUCUCUCAAUUAUAUUGAAGAAUAAAAAUUCUUUAACAUUAAUAUGACAUAAAUUAUUAUUAUUGUUAUAAUUUGUUUGAUUUUAACAGCUAU
This 1114-nucleotide long non-coding RNA is filed under the name Androctonus crassicauda. Lineage: Eukaryota; Metazoa; Arthropoda; Arachnida; Scorpiones; Buthidae. The record is from RNAcentral.